AUACGUAGGGGGCGAGCGUUGUCCGGAAUGAUUGGGCGUAAAGGGCGCGUAGGCGGCCCGGUAAGUCUGGAGUGAAAGUCCUGUUUUUAAGAUGGGAAUUGCUUUGGAUACUGUCGGGCUUGAGUGCAGGAGAGGUAAGUGGAAUUCCCAGUGUAGCGGUGAAAUGCGUAGAGAUUGGGAGGAACACCAGUGGCGAAGGCGACUUACUGGACUGUAACUGACGCUGAGGCGCGAAAGUGUUGGGAGCAAACAGGAUUAGAUACCCUGGUAGUCCACACUGUAAACGAUGAAUGCUAGGUGUAGGGGGUAUCGACCCCUUCUGUGCCGCAGUCAACACAAUAAGCAUUCCGCCUGGGGAGUACGUUCGCAAGAAUGAAACUCAAAGGAAUUGACGGGG
This 397-nucleotide ribosomal RNA is filed under the name uncultured bacterium. Its description in RNAcentral is "partial 16S ribosomal RNA". It matches the Rfam family "Bacterial small subunit ribosomal RNA", at positions 523 to 918 of the family's 1533-position model. The record is from RNAcentral.